GCCGAGGUGGUGGAAUUGGUAGACACGCUACUUUGAGGUGGUAGUGGUCCAAAAGACCGUGGGAGUUCGAGUCUCCCCCUCGGCA
RNAcentral lists this transfer RNA (85 nucleotides) under Desulfobaculum bizertense DSM 18034. RNAcentral describes it as "Desulfovibrio bizertensis DSM 18034 tRNA". It matches the Rfam family "tRNA". From Rfam's summary of the family: Transfer RNA (tRNA) molecules are approximately 80 nucleotides in length. Their secondary structure includes four short double-helical elements and three loops (D, anti-codon, and T loops). The record is from Rfam by way of RNAcentral. Lineage: Bacteria; Pseudomonadati; Thermodesulfobacteriota; Desulfovibrionia; Desulfovibrionales; Desulfovibrionaceae.